UCCCAUGUGGUCUAGCGGCUAGGAUUUGUCGCUUUCAAGCACAGCUGUGCUAAGAUCCGACAAGGCCGGGGUUCGAUUCCCCGCAUGGGAA
Delphinella strobiligena is the source of this 91-nucleotide non-coding RNA. NCBI's taxonomy places the organism in Eukaryota, Fungi, Ascomycota, Dothideomycetes, Dothideales, Dothioraceae. The record is from the annotation of a GenBank genome assembly.